This 251-nucleotide ribosomal RNA is filed under the name uncultured bacterium. RNAcentral's name for it is "partial 16S ribosomal RNA". It matches the Rfam family "Bacterial small subunit ribosomal RNA", at positions 524 to 776 of the family's 1533-position model. The record is from RNAcentral.
UACGUAGGGCGCAAGCGUUGUCCGGAAUUAUUGGGCGUAAAGAGCUCGUAGGUGGCUUGUCGCGUCUGUCGUGAAAGCCCGGGCUUAACUCCGGGUCUGCGGUGGAUACGGGCAGGCUAGAGGCAGGUAGGGGAGAAUGGAAUUCCCGGUGUAGCGGUGAAAUGCGCAGAUAUCGGGAGGAACACCGGUGGCGAAGGCGGUCUCUGGGCCUGUACUGACGCUGAGGAGCGAAAGCGUGGGGAGCGAACAGG